This 72-nucleotide transfer RNA is filed under the name Bos taurus (domestic cattle). It matches the Rfam family "tRNA". From Rfam's summary of the family: Transfer RNA (tRNA) molecules are approximately 80 nucleotides in length. RNAcentral also lists the same sequence under 5 other names. The record is from Rfam by way of RNAcentral. Lineage: Eukaryota; Metazoa; Chordata; Mammalia; Artiodactyla; Bovidae.
UCCCAUGUGGCUCAGCUGGUAAAGAAUCCACCUGCAAUGUGGGAGACCUAGGUUCAAUCCCUGGGUUGAGAA